RNAcentral lists this ribosomal RNA (163 nucleotides) under uncultured Tricholoma. RNAcentral's name for it is "partial 28S ribosomal RNA". It matches the Rfam family "Eukaryotic large subunit ribosomal RNA", at positions 1 to 157 of the family's 3401-position model. The record is from RNAcentral. Lineage: Eukaryota; Fungi; Basidiomycota; Agaricomycetes; Agaricales; Tricholomataceae.
UUUGAUCUCAAAUCAGGUAGGACUACCCGCUGAACUUAAGCAUAUCAAUAAGCGGAGGAAAAGAAACUAACAAGGAUUCCCCUAGUAACUGCGAGUGAAGCGGGAAGAGCUCAAAUUUAAAAUCUGGCAAUCCUUGUGGUUGUCCGAGUCGUAAUCUAGAGAA